Molecule: ribosomal RNA, 517 nt
Filed under: Atelerix albiventris (middle-African hedgehog)
Lineage: Eukaryota; Metazoa; Chordata; Mammalia; Eulipotyphla; Erinaceidae
Description: partial 16S ribosomal RNA
Rfam family: Bacterial large subunit ribosomal RNA
Source: RNAcentral
ACCUCUAGCAUUAUUAGUAUUAGAGGCACUGCCUGCCCAGUGAUAUAUUUUAACGGCCGCGGUAUCCUGACCGUGCAAAGGUAGCAUAAUCACUUGUUCUUUAAUUUAGGACUUGCAUGAAUGGCCACACGAGGGCUUAACUGUCUCUUAAUCUAAAUCAGUGAAAUUGACCUUCCCGUGAAGAGGCGGGAAUAUUAUAAUAAGACGAGAAGACCCUAUGGAGCUUCAGUUUAAAAACUAAAGAUAAAUAUUAAAAACCUACAGGUAUAAAAUUUAUCUAUCUAGUAAUAAACUUUGGUUGGGGUGACCUCGGAGAAAAAAAUAACCUCCGAAUGAUUUUAACCUAAGACUUACAAGUCAAAGUACAAUCAUUUAUUGACCCAGUAAAUAGUACUGAUCAACGGAACAAGUUACCCUAGGGAUAACAGCGCAAUUCUAUUCAAGAGUUCAUAUCGACAAUAGAGUUUACGACCUCGAUGUUGGAUCAGGACAUCCUAAUGGUGUAACAGCUAUUAAU